GACAUGAACAGAAAAUUCAAUUGAAAGCAUGAACAGAAAAUUCAAUUGAAAGCGCAAUAAGUAUGAACAAGGAAAUGAUAAGGAAAUACACUUUAACGUAGAAGAAAAAGGAAAACCUACUCUAUGGCAAAAACAGAUAAAACAUCAUGGAGUUUUUCUAAAAUAACACAGCCUCCCUGAUCGAAACCCCACAAACAAAUGGGGGGUCCCGUAAAAAAAACAUGGCCACCCCCCUAUUUGUGGGUUCCGAUUAGAUAAGUUGUCAGCCUCCCUGUUGUUGUAGCAAAAACCCGACAUCAUAUCUUUUUCUAAGUACAAUAGUCAAACUGAAAUCCUUUGAACAUGCUAUAAGCACAUUGGGGUCCUUGGUUUGAGCAAAAAUACUAAGAUAUUGCAAAAUAAUAAAUGUGCACCUUGAUCUCUAGCCCAUCUUUCAUUCUCUUCAAAUUAUCUAGUAAAGUGGCUCUAAAGACGUAUUCAGAGAUGGAAAAAAGAAUUUUCUUAACACGUGUGGUUCUCUUACAAGUUCAUUUGUAGGUGAACAACAACGAAAUAUGCUAAUCAGGAGGGACAUUCAUUAUAACCUGAGAACUCAAAACAAAGGUGAAAAUAAGUUAAUUGAAGACAAAAUAAGAACAAUCAAGUGCAGAUACCCUUAAGUGCUAGAUGCUUCCAAGUAACCAGCAAAGAAAAAUAGUUGACUUCCUACUAAAAAAGGUUGAGGCCAAUUGAAUCCGUCUUUCUCUUCUUUCUUAACCACUUGAUGAUAUAUUCAAUACUUCUCAAUCUACUAUUUAGAGAAUAAUACUAUCGAAGAAAUCUUUUAAUUUUGCUAUUGAUUUUGACAAAAAAAUUUCCUUUAUCCAUUGAGUGAAUCCCUUCUCCUGAAAAAAUAAGUAUUGCCUUGUUGUAGUUAAUUAAUGCAAUUGCACAAAGAAAGUGGAUAUCAGUCAUAAAAACCUCUUUCUAGAAGCCAUGUUUACCGGUCCAUAAAGUUUGUGUGGCUCUCUAUCAAUGCCUUCUUUGCUGAGAAAGAACACUUUUAAGAAACUUAUAUACACCCUACUGUUGAACACAAGCACCAAACCCCAUCAAGCAGUGUAUUAUUUUCUGUAUCACCUCAAUGCUCACGAACAUAAUAACAAAACCCGCAAAGCAAUGAAGAAGUUUCAGUUAAGAAUAGGUGAAAUGCUCCAUUCAAAAUUACCGAAAACUUGUUCCCUUCGGGCAUCUUACUUUUUGCAAAGAUGUAAACAUAUAAAUGCAAAGAGAGUCUUAAUGGUUUAGUUUGGCUAGAUUCCUUUAAAUUUGUGAUAGUUUUUGUAUUGUUGUAGUGAUGAGAUAGGAUGAUUGAGGAUGUUUUGUAUGGAAUAAUUUUGGAGGUAAAAAAAAAUAGUUGGCUUUUUAUUGAAAGUUAAUAGUUUGGAAGAUUUUGGUAGAAAGUAAUUUGGUGGACAAAGUAGGUAGGAGAAAGGAAUUUUAUUAGAAUGAUGAUAGCUUACAAUAGCUUGAACUUUGUCUAGC
Molecule: long non-coding RNA, 1524 nt
Filed under: Olea europaea subsp. europaea
Lineage: Eukaryota; Viridiplantae; Streptophyta; Magnoliopsida; Lamiales; Oleaceae
Source: RNAcentral